RNAcentral lists this ribosomal RNA (250 nucleotides) under uncultured fungus. RNAcentral's name for it is "partial small subunit ribosomal RNA". The record is from RNAcentral. Lineage: Eukaryota; Fungi.
GAUUCGACCUUCCGGUCACCCUGAUUAAGGGGUUUGUACUGGUUGCAAAGUGAAUGUUGAAUCUUUUGAGGGUGGGGCCGAUUUGUGUGGUAAAAAGCACGGAUGGGUUGCACACUUUACUGUGAGAAAAUUGGAGUGCUCAAAGCAGGCCAUCAUGUAGGCCAUUAUACAGGUUAGCAUGGAAUAAUAGGAUAAGGACGGACUGGUUCUUAUUUUGUUGGUUUUAGGAUCAAGUUUAUAAAAAGUCCAA